Molecule: ribosomal RNA, 253 nt
Filed under: uncultured bacterium
Lineage: Bacteria
Description: partial 16S ribosomal RNA
Rfam family: Bacterial small subunit ribosomal RNA
Source: RNAcentral
CACGUAGGGUGCGAGCGUUGUCCGGAAUUAUUGGGCGUAAAGAGCUCGUAGGCGGUUUGUCGCGUCUGCUGUGAAAUCCCGAGGCUCAACCUCGGGCCUGCAGUGGGUACGGGCAGACUGGAGUGCGGUAGGGGAGAUUGGAAUUCCUGGUGUAGCGGUGGAAUGCGCAGAUAUCGGGAAGAACACCCGUGGCGAAGGCGGCUCUCUGGGACGGUACUGACGCUGAGACGCGAAAGCGUGGGGAGCGAACAGG